Molecule: ribosomal RNA, 400 nt
Filed under: uncultured bacterium
Lineage: Bacteria
Description: bacterial SSU rRNA
Rfam family: Bacterial small subunit ribosomal RNA
Source: RNAcentral
UCGAGGAUCUUCGGCAAUGGGCGCAAGCCUGACCGAGCGACGCCACGUGUGGGAUGAAGGCCUUCGGGUUGUAAACCACUGUCGUAGGGGAGGAAGGCCGUGUGCAGAGCACGGUUUGACCGAUCCUAGGAGGAAGUCCAGGCUAACCUCGUGCCAGCAGCCGCGGUAAGACGAGGUGGACAAACGUUAUUCGGAUUUACUGGGCUUAAAGCGUGCGUAGGCGGCUCAGAAAGUUGGGUGUGAAAGCCCUCGGCUCAACCGAGGAAUUGCGCUCAAAACUACUGAGCUUGAGUGAGAUAGGGGUGAGCGGAACUGAUGGUGGAGCGGUGAAAUGCGUUGAUAUCAUCAGGAACACCGGUGGCGAAGGCGGCUCACUGGAUCUUAUCUGACGCUGAGGCAC